GUCUCCCUGAAGAUAUAAGGAGUCUGACCUGCCCACUGAAUUAUUAAAGGGCCGCGGUAUUUCUGACCGUGCGAAGGUAGCAUAAUCAUUAGUCUUUUAAUUGAAGGCUUGUAUGAAGGGUUGGACGAGAGAAAAGCUGUCUCAGUUAAAAAAAUUGAACUUAACUUUUAAGUGAAAAGGCUUAAAUUAAUUGAAAAGACGAUAAGACCCUAUAAAUCUUUAUAUUAACAAAAUUAAAUUUUUAAUUUAUACUUUAAUAAAAAUAUUAAUCCACUAAUAUUAUGUUGGGGCGACAAGAAUAUAAUAACACCACCUGUUCUAAUUUAAAUACAUUUAUUUUUGAAUUAAAAGAUCCUUUUUAAAGAUUUCAAGAUCAAGUUACUUUAGGGAUAACAGCGUUAUUUUCUUUGAGAGUUCAUAUCGAAAAGAAAGUUUGCGACCUCGAUGUUGAAUUAAAAUUUCUUUAUGGUGCAGCCGCUAUAAAAGAAAGUCUGUUCGACUUUUAAAAUUUU
This 512-nucleotide ribosomal RNA is filed under the name Dardanus hessii. RNAcentral describes it as "partial 16S ribosomal RNA". It matches the Rfam family "Bacterial large subunit ribosomal RNA", at positions 1819 to 2597 of the family's 2925-position model. The record is from RNAcentral. Lineage: Eukaryota; Metazoa; Arthropoda; Malacostraca; Decapoda; Diogenidae.